RNAcentral lists this ribosomal RNA (1312 nucleotides) under metagenome. RNAcentral's name for it is "bacterial SSU rRNA". It matches the Rfam family "Bacterial small subunit ribosomal RNA", at positions 196 to 1498 of the family's 1533-position model. The record is from RNAcentral.
GCAGGGGAUCGCAAGACCUUGCGCUGAUUGAGCGGCCGAUAUCAGAUUAGCUAGUUGGUGGGGUAAAAGCUCACCAAGGCGACGAUCUGUAGCGGGUCUGAGAGGAUGAUCCGCCACACUGGAACUGAGACACGGUCCAGACUCCUACGGGAGGCAGCAGUGGGGAAUUUUGGACAAUGGGGGCAACCCUGAUCCAGCCAUGCCGCGUGAGUGAAGAAGGCCUUCGGGUUGUAAAGCUCUUUCGGCCGGGAAAAAAUCGCAUGGGUUAAUACCCUGUGUGGAUGAUGGUACCGGAAUAAGAAGCACCGGCUAACUACGUGCCAGCAGCCGCGGUAAUACGUAGGGUGCGAGCGUUAAUCGGAAUUACUGGGCGUAAAGCGUGCGCAGGCGGUUUUGUAAGACAGGCGUGAAAUCCCCGGGCUCAACCUGGGAACUGCGCUUGUGACUGCAAGGCUAGAGUAUGGCAGAGGGGGGUGGAAUUCCACGUGUAGCAGUGAAAUGCGUAGAGAUGUGGAGGAACACCAAUGGCGAAGGCAGCCCCCUGGGCCAAUACUGACGCUCAUGCACGAAAGCGUGGGUAGCAAACAGGAUUAGAUACCCUGGUAGUCCACGCCCUAAACGAUGUCAACUAGGUGUUGGGAGGGUAAAACCUUUUAGUACCGGAGCUAACGCGUGAAGUUGACCGCCUGGGGAGUACGGCCGCAAGGUUAAAACUCAAAGGAAUUGACGGGGACCCGCACAAGCGGUGGAUGAUGUGGAUUAAUUCGAUGCAACGCGAAAAACCUUACCUACCCUUGACAUGUCCAGGAGCCUGAAGAGAUUUGGGUGUGCCCGAAAGGGAACUGGAACACAGGUGCUGCAUGGCUGUCGUCAGCUCGUGUCGUGAGAUGUUGGGUUAAGUCCCGCAACGAGCGCAACCCUUGUCGUUAAUUGCCAUCAUUCAGUUGGGCACUUUAACGAGACUGCCGGUGACAAACCGGAGGAAGGUGGGGAUGACGUCAAGUCCUCAUGGCCCUUAUGGGUAGGGCUUCACACGUCAUACAAUGGUCGGUACAAAGGGUUGCCAACCCGCGAGGGGGAGCCAAUCCCAGAAAGCCGAUCGUAGUCCGGAUUGCAGGCUGCAACUCGCCUGCAUGAAGUCGGAAUCGCUAGUAAUCGUGGAUCAGCAUGUCACGGUGAAUACGUUCCCGGGUCUUGUACACACCGCCCGUCACACCAUGGGAGCGGGUUCCGCCAGAAGUAGGUAGCCUAACCGCAAGGGGGGCGCUUACCACGGCGGGGUUCGUGACUGGGGUGAAGUCGGAACAAGGUA